AAAUCAGAUAACGCUGGGUGGUCUGGGUUAGUUGUACGCUUUCCCCUAAAGAAUUUCAAACAGUUUUCCUGGUAUCAUCCCACUUGUCCUUAGGGUUCUUUAGUUUCUGGACAGUUUAUAUUUUCCUUGGCAGCUUGCAACGUGAGAAACUGAGGUACUGCCAUUUAAUCGACUUCUCUUUCAAGGAAAAUUGAAAAACUCUGUGGGGAAAAUACUAACAAUUAUUUGGGCCCUGACUGUGGAUUCUGAAAAAUUUAUUCAUGGAAGGGCAGAAUACGUUACUAUUUCCAGAACAUUGCCAACAGCAAAGAGAUUAUGCCCGGAAUUAAGUACAGCCCUGUCUCCUUUCUCCUGUGCUUUGAAACUCAGUGUGAGAAAGCAAUGGAAUCUUCCCCCACUUCAGGCCAAAUUAGGUCAGAAAACUUUUACUGUGAGCCUUUAAGUCAUAGAAUGCACUGGAAAGGAGUAAAAAAAAACCUAUGAUCUGUGCAGUUACUUGGUCGGUUUUUGAGUGAGGAGCACAGGGCGUAUCUUGCACACUGUGGCAGGGCAUAGAAGAGAAGAGAACCCUUCUUGGAGGUUGCCUUAUGUGUCCUGAGAUAGGAAUUCUAGGGCUUUGCUUGAUUUGCUAGGCUCAGAGCUCAGUGGAGGAGAGCAAGGUCAACAGCAC
This 670-nucleotide long non-coding RNA is filed under the name Marmota monax (woodchuck). Lineage: Eukaryota; Metazoa; Chordata; Mammalia; Rodentia; Sciuridae. The record is from RNAcentral.